Molecule: ribosomal RNA, 464 nt
Filed under: Vreelandella stevensii
Lineage: Bacteria; Pseudomonadati; Pseudomonadota; Gammaproteobacteria; Oceanospirillales; Halomonadaceae
Description: partial 16S ribosomal RNA
Rfam family: Bacterial small subunit ribosomal RNA
Source: RNAcentral
CCUACGGGGGGCUGCAGUGGGGAAUAUUGACAAUGGGGGCAACCCUGAUCCAGCCAUGCCGCGUGUGUGAAGAAGGCCCUCGGGUUGUAAAGCACUUUCAGUGAGGAAGAACGCCUGGUGGUUAAUACCCAUCAGGAAAGACAUCACUCACAGAAGAAGCACCGGCUAACUCCGUGCCAGCAGCCGCGGUAAUACGGAGGGUGCGAGCGUUAAUCGGAAUUACUGGGCGUAAAGCGCGCGUAGGUGGCUUGAUAAGCCGGUUGUGAAAGCCCCGGGCUCAACCUGGGAACGGCAUCCGGAACUGUCAAGCUAGAGUGCAGGAGAGGAAGGUAGAAUUCCCGGUGUAGCGGUGAAAUGCGUAGAGCUCGGGAGGAAUACCAGUGGCGAAGGCGGCCUUCUGGACUGACACUGACACUGAGGUGCGAAAGCGUGGGUAGCAAACAGGAUUAGAUACCCUGGUAGUC